Molecule: ribosomal RNA, 294 nt
Filed under: Enterococcus faecium
Lineage: Bacteria; Bacillati; Bacillota; Bacilli; Lactobacillales; Enterococcaceae
Description: partial 23S ribosomal RNA
Rfam family: Bacterial large subunit ribosomal RNA
Source: RNAcentral
UGUUGGGGUUGUAGGACUCCAAUAUGGUAGUUCUUUCAGAUAGUCGAAUGACUUGGAAAAGUCAGUCAAAGAGGGUAAAAACCCCGUAGACGAAAUGUGGAAGACACCUAGGAGGAUCCUGAGUACGGCGGAACACGAGAAAUUCCGUCGGAAUCCGGGAGGACCAUCUCCCAAGGCUAAAUACUCCCUAGUGACCGAUAGUGAACCAGUACCGUGAGGGAAAGGUGAAAAGCACCCCGGAAGGGGAGUGAAAUAGAACCUGAAACCGUGUGCCUACAACAAGUCAAAGCCCGU